GUUUUCGGAUAAUCGCACGAUGUUUAGAUAUCGUGAGGAAAGUCCAGGCUCGUCCGCACUGCGAUGUGCGGAGUGAUUGUGUCAGACGAAUAAAUAAGUCUGAGUAGGGCGUCAACCCUAACGGCGGUGAAAUGGACUAAGUCUUUUAGAUAUGCCAAAUUAGCUUUAAAGUGCCAUAGAGACGAAUCUUUCUGAAAACGGAAAGGCUGGAACGUGGUAAACCCCUCAAGCGAGCAACCCAAACUACGGUCGGGGCAUUUGACUAGCCAAAUUGAAGGCGUGGUCGAGCGUGCAUUGCACGAGACAGAUGAUUAUCCAGGAUGGAAGCAUCCGGACAAAACUUGGCUUAUAGAA
RNAcentral lists this RNase P RNA (354 nucleotides) under Lactovum miscens. RNAcentral's name for it is "Bacterial RNase P class B". It matches the Rfam family "Bacterial RNase P class B". Rfam says of the family: Ribonuclease P (RNase P) is a ubiquitous endoribonuclease, found in archaea, bacteria and eukarya as well as chloroplasts and mitochondria. Its best characterised activity is the generation of mature 5'-ends of tRNAs by cleaving the 5'-leader elements of precursor-tRNAs. Cellular RNase Ps are ribonucleoproteins. The record is from Rfam by way of RNAcentral. Lineage: Bacteria; Bacillati; Bacillota; Bacilli; Lactobacillales; Streptococcaceae.